UACGAAGGGGGCUAGCGUUGUUCGGAAUUACUGGGCGUAAAGCGCACGUAGGCGGGUCGUUAAGUCCGGGGUGAAAUCCCAGAGCUCAACUCUGGAACUGCCUUUGAUACUGGCGACCUAGAGUUCGGAAGAGGUUAGUGGAAUUCCCAGUGUAGAGGUGAAAUUCGUAGAUAUUGGGAAGAACACCAGUGGCGAAGGCGGCUAACUGGUCCGAUACUGACGCUGAGGUGCGAAAGCGUGGGGAGCAAACAGG
This 253-nucleotide ribosomal RNA is filed under the name uncultured bacterium. RNAcentral's name for it is "partial 16S ribosomal RNA". It matches the Rfam family "Bacterial small subunit ribosomal RNA", at positions 524 to 776 of the family's 1533-position model. The record is from RNAcentral.